GAGUUUGUGUGACCUGCUGUGUUGUUCAGUCGCCUUCCCCGGAGGAGGCUGGACCUUCCUGGGUGGAGAGGCCUCCGGCACGUCCCCCACGCAAGUCACUAGAUGCAUUGACUCCAUCAUAUGCAAUCACACAGGUCCUUAGGUAUGACUUUUGGUGGAAGCCGUAUGGAGGAGGUGACAGCGGAAACCCAGCUGUCCUCACACCCAAGCUGAGACCAGCCCACCCUCCUUCCUUACCUCAACUCCACUCAACUACCAUCAAAGGAGGUUUGGGGUGAAAAGCAGCUUCAUCUGCAUCGUGCACAGCACGUACUUUUGGGCACUUUCAACCAGCUUUGGCGUCAAGAUUUAUGCACUCCAGUGUCAGCAAAUACCCUCAGCACGAUGUGGCCGUGUGACCCGAUGCACCCGACACCUGCUGCUUUCGGGUGAUCGUCCCACCCCCGAGGCCCUGGGCCCUUCCUUCCUCACCCGUCCACGUCCUGCAAGCAAACGUUGCCUCGUCACGCACGAUCCUGCAGACUCGCCAAUGAGCAUUAAGAUCCCAUCGGAAACUACAAAACGGUGUGUGACAGAAGGCGAAUGGUCUGGCCCAAAUCUGAAGGGACCUCACGGCCCCUGUGACUCCGGGAGAAGCCAGGGGCAAGAAAGCAAACUUAUGGCAGUUUUGCCGUUUCUGGUUCAAAUUCUGGGAUUCCUUCCCUUUGUACCGGAGGAGAUUGUAACAUCCUAGAAGACAAGGAAUAUGAGAGAAGGCUGAGUUUUAAAGACUAUCACCAUCUGCAAUCGGUGGAGGGAAUUUCUGCCACGUUGUAAAACGAUCGUGUGCUGUGGGUACACCUGCGUGUGCUGGCUUUGUUUUGUCGGUCUGUUUACUGUCCGACACCUCCCAAGCCUCCUGAAACGUCUCCGAGCUGAGACCCCGAUCCCCCGGUGCCACCAGCACACAUACUUGGUGUCACAGAACCAGCUGCAUCCUGGCUGCUCGGGAGACAACUCGGGCGCAGACACCGGGACCGUGGACAGUUUGACCGUGGUGACGUGACCCUCUGACGUGGCCCAGGUACGGGCUCGGGCUCUGAGCGUGAGCGGGGUGUCUGGGUCCUUCGCUGGCAUUAAGGAUUGGCGGGGAGCUGUUGGAAGUGGUCUUAGCACAGACGGGCUUGAACGCGAAGUCUCCUCGGAAGAGAACAGACUUUUAAAACCACGGAAAGAGACCGUGUCUUGGGAAUACCAUUUUUGCCUGAGGGUUGACAAAGUCUGAGACAAACCUCCAAUGAGAGAUGUGCAAAAACUGCCUUUUUCCUUAAUUCAACUUGAGCUGUUGUUUUUUUUAACUUGCAACCGAGUGUCCAAAUAGAUUAUAUGCCUUCAGUAUAAAUUCUCUCCACUUAAGAACUGGACUGGACAAGUUUGGCCACACGGCCCCUCUGAUUUCAGAUGAACAACUUCCCGACCCUGUGGGUCACUUCUGGUGGUGCCCGGAUUGCCACGUUCGGCCGCACUCACAAUGGGACUCGGUUCUGAUUAACCGUAGUGAUGUUACAACAACAAAGACUGAGAAGGGAGCUGACAGGGAACGUUCCAGAGUCACGGGAGUCAGACACGCCCCCUGUCUCCGUGGUGACGAAUCUGGGAGGGGAUGUGCAGGGCAGUGUGGGUGCAAGGCUGCAGAGCCCGGUCAGAGCCCCCUGCACUCAGGGACGACAUUGUCCCCUACAGAGACAACGGCUCUUACGCCAGGGCUCUCGGGCCACAAGGCGACCCUGCGUCCCCAGACGGGCAGUGGUCCUGCAGGUGCCGAUAACAUAACAUCCGAAUCGCCCACCCACUGGACUGAGAGGCAAGGACAUCAGCACUGACCCCGCCUUUCUCGGCCCUUCGCACUGGGUCCCCUCCCGGUUCGGUACACUAGUGAGGGUGGGCCGCACAGCCAUGUUUUCAUCCCACCAGCCGAACGGAGGUGCUGUGAGGUUCCAGCGUCGUGGACUCAGCCACGUGACCUGGCCACCUCGUGUCCACUCGCCUCGUGUCCACUCGCCUGCCGCCUUCCCCAUCGUGCAGGGUCAGCUGCGUCUGAACAGAAUUUGCACGGAAUGUGAAGAUGCAGAGAUAAAGGUUCCUGCUUGGAAAAUAUGAUUUAGUAAAUCUUCGUAUUUUCCCAGAGUUUAAAACCACGUCCCCACAGAAACCUGCACACAGACGAUCACUGCACCUCUUCCAUCAUCGACAAAACUUGUUAACGACCAGGACGCCCUUCAGCAGGUGGUGAUGGAUGACCCGGGUCCGUGCAGACAACGGGGUCUCGUUCUGCACUGAAACAAAGAACCACAAGCCACGAAAAGACGCGGGAACGUUACAGAAGUGGGAGGAGGGAACCUGGAGGGAGGACACCGGGCAGUGACCCUCCUCGCAAGGGCCUGGUCACCGCCUCUGACCAAACGUCCAGUGUGGUUUUCCACUGCCACCAGCUGUCCAGGCGGGCGCCUCAGGAACUGUCUACACGGCGCCAGAGGCAUGAGAAGAAUUAAGUCUUAAAGCGCAUCUGCCGUUCUUAAUAUCCAGCUCACUCUGACCGUCACGUCGAUACGAUCUUUUACAUAAGUGACUUAGA
Molecule: long non-coding RNA, 2614 nt
Organism: Felis catus (domestic cat)
Lineage: Eukaryota; Metazoa; Chordata; Mammalia; Carnivora; Felidae
Exons: 4
Source: RefSeq, a predicted model, not a curated record